Molecule: long non-coding RNA, 303 nt
Filed under: Mus pahari (shrew mouse)
Lineage: Eukaryota; Metazoa; Chordata; Mammalia; Rodentia; Muridae
Description: lncRNA (MGP_PahariEiJ_G0012225.1)
Source: RNAcentral
CUAGGAGACGAAUCGCGGGGUCUCACCAUUCCUAGGCUGCCAGCUCCAACAAUUUCUCCGCGGCGACGACAGGAGCCGCAGGGCCAAAGCCGGCUUCCGUGAGACACAUCUACUUCCGGGUUGCGAACGAAGGGUUGGAGGAUCUUUUCCGGUUCGUCCUGGACGCAUUUUUGACCACUUGAUACAAGGGAGAGUUAUUUGGGAAGAAGCUCAACGGAGAAAAUGCCUCCAUCAGAGUGGCCUGUGGGCAGGUCUGUGAGCCUGAUUUUCCUGAUUCCUGAUUGCCAUGGGAGGGCCCCAUCC